This 253-nucleotide ribosomal RNA is filed under the name uncultured bacterium. RNAcentral's name for it is "partial 16S ribosomal RNA". It matches the Rfam family "Bacterial small subunit ribosomal RNA", at positions 524 to 776 of the family's 1533-position model. The record is from RNAcentral.
UACGUAUGGUGCAAGCGUUAUCCGGGUUUACUGGGCGUAAAGGGAGCGCAGGCGGCGCGCCAAGUCUGAUGUGAAACCCCGGGGCUCAACCCCGGGCAUGCAUUGGAAACUGGCGGGCUGGAGUGCCGGAGAGGUAAGCGGAAUUCCUAGUGUAGCGGUGAAAUGCGUAGAUAUUAGGAGGAACACCAGUGGCGAAGGCGGCUUACUGGACGGCAACUGACGCUGAGGCUCGAAAGCGUGGGGAGCAAACAGG